Molecule: long non-coding RNA, 1138 nt
Organism: Penaeus indicus
Lineage: Eukaryota; Metazoa; Arthropoda; Malacostraca; Decapoda; Penaeidae
Exons: 3
Source: RefSeq, a predicted model, not a curated record
GGCUCUCAGACAUGUGCGAAAACAGCUGGCCGCUCUGCCAACGACAUUUGAGCGUGAAGGCAGGAAAGGGGCACUGCUGCUGGGCGUGGAGCGAGCGCUCGAGACCGCGCCGGAGAUGUCGGUGUGUCAGCUGUUCACACUCGAGCGACACCUGAUGCUGCCUAUGGCGGCCUCUGUUUUAACCUUCUUGUUUUUCACGGCGCAAUUCGGCCUCUACGAAGACCCGAGCUCCGAGUCUGCGAACGCCACGUGCCCCCCCUAGGGGCCCCCUCCCCUCAACGCACCCCUCACCCGUGGGUCCUUGCUUCUGCUCUGACUAAUCCCCCUUAGGGCCCCUUGCCCCUCUACGCCUCCUCUGAACUCCUUUCCCCUGAGGGGCCUCCCCCGCUACGGCAUAGCAGACACCUUCGCCUCCCUCAUGAGCCCCAGCCUUUUCUGCGAGAGUCAGCAGAAAAGAUGGGCGCGGCGGUCCCGAACCAACGAGUCCCGAACCAACGAGUCCCGAACCAACGAGUCCCGAAGCAACACGCGUGAUUCAGGGCCCCCGGGGAUCAUGAAUUCCUCCGGGGAAGAAGUUACUGUAGGGCGCCUAAAUUACCCUUGAAAAGGGUAUAGCCUAUCUAGUGUGUUAAAGGGUAUAGGCUUAUAUUCUCUCUAUAUAAAACAUGCUAAAGACUAUGUGUAUGUAUACAUACCCACAUGUAAAAAAGGAAAGAUGUCAUCUAUUUAUUAAUCAAUUAAUAUAUAUAUGUAUAUAUAUAUAUUUAUAUAUAUACAUAUGUAUAUACAUAUGCAUAUACACAUAUAUAUACACACACACACAUGUAUAUACAUAUGCAUAUACAUAUAUAUACAUACAUAUAUACAUAUACAUAUGUAUAUAUGUUUAUAUGUAUGUAUAUUUAUACAUACAUAUAUAUAUAUAUAUAUAUAUAUAUAUAUAUAUAUAUAUAUAUAUAUAUAUACAUAUAUAUGUCAUCAACACACAAACAGACCGGCAGACAGAAGCAUAGCUCCCCCACCCCCUACACACUCACACGCUCAUACAAAAUGUACGUUAUACAUCUAUUUGAUAUUAUUUAAGGUGUUCAUGUGUAAUAUCUCUACAGAAUAAAAAAAGUGCUUCGUACACCAUUUA